GUGCCAGCAGCCGCGGUAAUACGGAGGGUGCAAGCGUUAAUCGGAAUUACUGGGCGUAAAGCGCGCGUAGGUGGCUUGAUAAGCCGGUUGUGAAAGCCCCGGGCUCAACCUGGGAACGGCAUCCGGAACUGUCAGGCUAGAGUGCAGGAGAGGAAGGUAGAAUUCCCGGUGUAGCGGUGAAAUGCGUAGAGAUCGGGAGGAAUACCAGUGGCGAAGGCGGGCCUUCUGGACUGACACUGACACUGAGGUGCGAAAGCGUGGUAGCAAACAGGAUUAGAUACCCUGGUAGUCCACGCCGUAAACGAUGUCGACCAGCCGUUUGGGUGCCUAGAGCACUUUGUGGCGAAGUUAACGCGAUAAGUCGACCGCCUGGGGAGUACGGCCGCAAGGUUAAAACUCAAAUGAAUUGACGG
This 413-nucleotide ribosomal RNA is filed under the name Halomonas sp. Its description in RNAcentral is "bacterial SSU rRNA". It matches the Rfam family "Bacterial small subunit ribosomal RNA", at positions 505 to 916 of the family's 1533-position model. The record is from RNAcentral. Lineage: Bacteria; Pseudomonadati; Pseudomonadota; Gammaproteobacteria; Oceanospirillales; Halomonadaceae.